GAUGAACGCUGGCGGCGUGCCUAAUACAUGCGAGUCGAGCGAACAGAUGAGGAGCUUGCUCCUCUGACGUUAGCGGCGGACGGGUGAGUAACACGUGGAUAACCUACCUAUAAGACUGGGAUAACUUCGGGAAACCGGAGCUAAUACCGGAUAAUAUAUUGAACCGCAUGGUUCAAUAGUGAAAGACGGUUUUGCUGUCACUUAUAGAUGGAUCCGCGCCGCAUUAGCUAGUUGGUAAGGUAACGGCUUACCAAGGCAACGAUGCGUAGCCGACCUGAGAGGGUGGUCGGCCACACUGGAACUGAGACACGGUCCAGACUCCUACGGGAGGCAGCAGUAGGGAAUCUUCCGCAAUGGGCGAAAGCCUGACGGAGCAACGCCGCGUGAGUGAUGAAGGUCUUCGGAUCGUAAAACUCUGUUAUUAGGGAAGAACAAAUGUGUAAGUAACUAUGCACGUCUUGACGGUACCUAAUCAGAAAGCCACGGCUAACUACGUG
RNAcentral lists this ribosomal RNA (497 nucleotides) under uncultured bacterium. Its description in RNAcentral is "partial 16S ribosomal RNA". It matches the Rfam family "Bacterial small subunit ribosomal RNA", at positions 28 to 507 of the family's 1533-position model. The record is from RNAcentral.